This 1689-nucleotide long non-coding RNA is filed under the name Malus domestica (apple). RNAcentral's name for it is "long non-coding RNA (MDOM_LNC001857)". Lineage: Eukaryota; Viridiplantae; Streptophyta; Magnoliopsida; Rosales; Rosaceae. The record is from RNAcentral.
AAGGGAAUCAUAUAGAUAAGUAUCACAUUGGAUAGUAGACAUGAAACAAACUAUCGCUUAAACAAUGUGAUUAAGAGUAUUGUAUUAGAGAAGGACCGUAUUGCAUUGUAGUUGUAACUGGAUAGGUUCUCCAACCACUUCUACUUAGCUUGGGUAACCAUGACAUACUGCUAGGUGUCACUCAUGGUUUGUGGAAGCCCUAAUGAUUAGCAAACACUAAUCAUUAAGGGAGAAUUGAAAUGUGGUUUCAAUUCACAAUCGAUCGCUAAGAGUAACAAUCGCCCACUACCUCGCUAAUUGGAACCUAAUGGAUCGUACACUGAGUAAGGAUGUAUGUGAAGAAAUUAAAUGAAAUGGAUAAGCAAUUAAAUGGUUUAAUUGAAGAAUGGUCAAGGUUAAUUAAUUAGUUAAUUAAUUAUACGAAAUGUUCGUAUUGGGCUUAUAUGUUGGUUUUGGGUUUCGGGGCCCAAAAGCGUUUUGGUCCACAAGGCCUAUUAUGUUUAAGUUGUAUGACAACUAAAACAAAAUGGGCAAAUAGCCCAAUAACAUUAACAUGGCCGGCCAUUAGGGUGGAUGAUGUAAACUUGGAUUAAUUACAAGUUUGCCACUCACUUGUAAUGACGUAUAAAAGCAACUUUAUAGCUUUAUUUUCAUUUAAGGGUUUUCUUUAAGGCAAAGAGGUGAAACAUUUUCUCUCUUUCUCUCUACAAAGAGGCCGGCCACUUAGGGAGAUUAAUCUAGCAAUCUCUUCUUCCCUAAGUCAUCCAUUUCAUCUUCACACUUAACCCUUGGUGUGGAGACUUAGAGACACCAAACUUUUGGUGUUUUGGAGAUCCUUUCCUUACAUCCACAAAGUCCAAAGGAGCACAAAAGGAGAAGGAAAUCACAAGCAAUAUCCAAGGAGCUAGGAGGUGACUUGAAGGCCCUCCACUUGGGUGAAUCCCUUGUGUAAACAAGGAUGAGCAUCAAGGGUAAAGAAACUCUAAAUCUUUAAUUCUCUUUAAUGUUGUUAAAGAGUCUUUUGGUUCACCAUAUACUAGGCUUUGAAAGUCAUGGGUUUUAUGAAUUGUUUUUGAAUGCAUGCCUGCUUUAAAGUGUUAAUAGUAUGCAUAUGUAUUCAAAUGUUCUUACUUGUUCUUAACUAGGACAAAAUUUUUCCUUCAAGUGGUAUCAGAGCCUAGGCCUAGUUUAUGGUGAAUCCUUUUGGGUUUUGUGAUUUUCAUGAUUUGUGAUUUAAAUGUUGUAAAUGUUACAAGCUUUGUUCUUGCUUUGAAUAUAAAUUUUGCUAGAAAAUUUAGCAUCUCAAAUGUUGUAGAUGUAUUUCAUUUAAGCAUGAAUAUUGGAACUAAAAUUUGGUGCCAUGAAUUUUGGGAAAUUCGGCGAAAUCCUUAGGGUGAUUUUUUGGGUUCAUGUUUGUCUUGUUAAAAUGGUUUUAAGGUGACUUUUGGAACCCCUAAGUACCCUAGGAUAUUAGCCCUCUUUUGAGUGGUGAAAAAUUGAGUUUUGGUGAGUGAAAACAUGAAGGAAUUAUUUUGAGAAACAUGUUCUUUUGAGCAACAUCAUAUAGCAUGCAAUUAACAAUUAAAGGCGGAAUCAUGCUUACAUGCACUCAAAAACAAAACAUUUACCCAUGAAAUUCAAAACCUAGUAGAUUGGUGAACCAAUAAUCAACUCAAAACAUAAGUGAGU